AUGAACGCUGGCGGCGCGCCUAACACAUGCAAGUCGGACGAUUAAAGCACCUUCGGGUGUGUAUAAAGUGGCGAACGGCUGAGUAACACGUGGGCAACCUGCCCCUCUCAUUGGGAUAGCCACGGGAAACCGUGGAUAAUACCGAAUACUUCGGGACUUCCGCAUGGAAGACUCGAGAAAGCUCCGGCGGAGAGGGAUGGGCCCGCGGCCUGUUAGCUUGUUGGUGGGGUAAUGGCCUACCAAGGCAAUGAUGGGUAGCUGGGUUGAGAGACCGACCAGCCAGAUUGGGACUGAGACACGGCCCAGACUCCUACGGGAGGCAGCAGUGGGGAAUCUUGCACAAUGGGCGAAAGCCUGAUGCAGCGACGCCGCGUGCGGGAUGAAGGCCUUCGGGUUGUAAACCGCUUUCAGCAGGGACGAGGCGAAAGUGACGGUACCUGCAGAAGAAGCCCCGGCUAACUACGUG
RNAcentral lists this ribosomal RNA (466 nucleotides) under uncultured bacterium. RNAcentral's name for it is "partial 16S ribosomal RNA". It matches the Rfam family "Bacterial small subunit ribosomal RNA", at positions 29 to 507 of the family's 1533-position model. The record is from RNAcentral.